GACGAACGCUGGCGGCGUGCCUAAUACAUGCAAGUAGAACGCUGAAGGAGGAGCUUACUUCUCUGGAUGAGUUGCGAACGGGUGAGUAACGCGUAGGUAACCUGCCUGGUAGCGGGGAAUAACUAUUGGAAACGAUAGCUAAUACCGCAUAAGAGUAGAUGUUGCAUGACAUUUACUUAAAAGGUGCAAUUGCACCACUACCAGAUGGACCUGGGUUGUAUUAGCUAGUUGGUGGGGUAACGGCUUACCAAGGCGAGGAUACAUAGCCGACCUGAGAGGGUGAUCGGCCACACUGGGACUGAGACACGGCCCAGACUCCUACGGGAGGCAGCAGUAGGGAAUCUUCGGCAAUGGACGGAAGUCUGACCGAGCAACGCCGCGUGAGUGAAGAAGGUUUUCGGAUCGUAAAGCUCUGUUGUAAGAGAAGAACGAGUGUGAGAGUGGAAAGUUCACACUGUGGCGGUAUCUUACCAGAAAGGGACGGCUAACUACGUGCCAGCAGCCGCAGUAA
RNAcentral lists this ribosomal RNA (511 nucleotides) under uncultured bacterium. Its description in RNAcentral is "partial 16S ribosomal RNA". It matches the Rfam family "Bacterial small subunit ribosomal RNA", at positions 28 to 523 of the family's 1533-position model. The record is from RNAcentral.